Molecule: ribosomal RNA, 468 nt
Filed under: uncultured bacterium
Lineage: Bacteria
Description: partial 16S ribosomal RNA
Rfam family: Bacterial small subunit ribosomal RNA
Source: RNAcentral
GACGAACGCUGGCGGCGUGCUUAACACAUGCAAGUCGAACGGAAAGGCCCUGCUUUUGUGGGGUGCUCAAGUGGCGAACGGGUGAGUAACACGUGAGUAACCUGCCCUUGACUUUGGGAUAACUUCAGGAAACUGGGGCUAAUACCGGAUAGGAGCUCCUGCUGCAUGGUGGGGGUUGGAAAGUCUCGGCGGUUGGGGAUGGACUCGCGGCUUAUCAGCUUGUUGGUGGGGUAGUGGCUUACCAAGGCUUUGACGGGUAGCCGGCCUGAGAGGGUGACCGGCCACAUUGGGACUGAGAUACGGCCCAGACUCCUACGGGAGGCAGCAGUGGGGAAUAUUGCACAAUGGGCGGAAGCCUGAUGCAGCAACGCCGCGUGCGGGAUGACGGCCUUCGGGUUGUAAACCGCUUUCGCCUGUGACGAAGCGUGAGUGACGGUAAUGGGUAAAGAAGCACCGGCUAACUACGUG